RNAcentral lists this ribosomal RNA (1221 nucleotides) under Triticum aestivum (bread wheat). Its description in RNAcentral is "partial small subunit ribosomal RNA". Lineage: Eukaryota; Viridiplantae; Streptophyta; Magnoliopsida; Poales; Poaceae. The record is from RNAcentral.
AUGGAUGCAGCUAGUUACUCUUAUAGUAAGAACGAACACCUAGCUGCAAUGAAUGAUUUGAAAAGAGAGUGUAAGGCAGCUUGGGCAUGGCUUAAUAAAGUACCAAUUUAUACAUGGGCUAGACAUGCAAUGGAUUUUACCUGCAAGACUAACCUAGUUGUGAACAACAUCAGUGAGGUGUUUAACAAAAUGAUCCUAGAUGUUAGAGGGAAGCCAAUAAAGACCAUGCUGGAAGGAAUUAGGACUAAAUUGAUGGUCAGAUUUAACACCAACAGAACUAAAACAGAGACAGCAAAUUGGGAGAUUUGCCCAACAUAUGCAGAGAUGUUAGAGGAGGCAAAGUACAACUCAAGGUGGUGCCAAUCUUUGAUGUCUGGUCCUAACAUUUACCAAGUUAGUAGUGGAGAUAACACAUACUCAGUGAACUUGCUGCACAGAACAUGUGGAUGUAGGAAGUGGGAUAUGACUGAUAUGCCUUGCAACCAUGCAGUCUCUGCAAUUGUGAAAGCUAAGUUGCAACCUGAAGACUUUGUUGAUGAUUUCUUCAAGAAGGAAAUGUAUCAAAAAGCAUAUGGCCAUAUCAUAUUUCCUGUCCCUGGUCCAAAUCUGUGGCCAAGGACAAGAACUCAGGACAUAGAGCCUUCAGUUUUCAGAGACAAAGUUGGGAAGCAACAAACAAAGAGGAGGAAAAACCAAUUUGAGAAGCCAGCACCAAAAGAUACAUCUAGGAUGGCAUCCAUUACUUGUAGCAACUGCAAACUUGUAGGGCACAGAUACACUGUGUGCUCCAAGCCCUUGAAACCAGCUCUUGCUAUGAGACAAAACCAGCAUCAGCCAAACAGGUCACAUGCUUCUGCUUCAUCUACAGCUGCUGCACCAACAAGGAAGAGGCCAUCUCCAUGUACAGCAGAUGUUGGGACUGCUCCUCCCAGGAAGAAAGUUGCACCUGCUGCAACUACACCUAGUGCUCCUCCCAGGAAGAAAGCUGCACCUGCUGCUAGUGCACCUACUGCUCCUCCCAGGAGGUCUCCCAGGAAGAAUGCUACCCCAGCACCUACUGCUCCUCCAAGGAGGUCUCCCAGGAAGAAAACUACCCCAGCUGGUGCAUCUUCUACAUCUGCCGCAGGCCAUAGGGGAACAUUUCAUUCUCCAAGACAGACUGGAAGGAAGAGGACAGUUUCCUACAAGAUGAAAGAGUACCUUUAUGCUUCUGGUAACUAG